AGACAAACACAUGACAAGUGCAUGGCUCUGAUGAUAAUGAAUGCUAUGGUGAAAUGCAAAGCAGGGAGUAAGGGCAGAGUGAUGGCAGAGACAGUGAGGUACUAUUUGAAAUAGGGUACUCAGGGAAGGCCUCUGAGGAAAGGUGUUUGAGCAUAGAUCCUGAAUGGAGUGAGGGAAUAAGGAGUUUGGAUAUUUGGGGCAGGGACACGUUAUGAAAGAUCCCAAGGUAGGAAUGUGUUUGAGGGUUUGAGCAGAAGAAUAGGGUGAUUUAAUUUUUAUUUUAAAAGGAUCAAAUUUAUCUCCCCACAGGGAGAUAAAUUAGAAAACUGCAGUGAGGGGGAAGAGGAUUCAAGAUGGAGCCAUAAGAACAACUCAGGAUUGCAGCUCUCAGUGAACGUGCAGAGGGUGAGUGGAGAAAAGAAUAAAGAAACCCAUAUUUCUUGAACUUCUCUGGCAACUAGCAGUGGUACCAAAUACAGUCUUUAGAAUUUCCAGAGUCUCAUUCUGUCACUCAAGUUGGAAUGCAGUGGCACGAUCUGGGCUCACCACAACCUCCACCUCCUGCCUCAGCCUCCUCAGUAGCUGGGAUUACAGGGAAAUUGAUGCUGAGGAGAGUCAAGUACAAUGAAUAUGUGGAGGUUUGAAAGAAUCAAGUUCGGAUUCCCAAUCAGUGCUCUUUCUGCGUCACAAUUCUGUUGAUAUUUUCUGUGCUGGGAACUUAAUAAAUACUGUUCUAAUGA
This 740-nucleotide long non-coding RNA is filed under the name Callithrix jacchus (white-tufted-ear marmoset). Its description in RNAcentral is "lncRNA (ENSCJAG00000077750.1)". Lineage: Eukaryota; Metazoa; Chordata; Mammalia; Primates; Cebidae. The record is from RNAcentral.